RNAcentral lists this ribosomal RNA (305 nucleotides) under uncultured bacterium. RNAcentral describes it as "bacterial SSU rRNA". It matches the Rfam family "Bacterial small subunit ribosomal RNA", at positions 334 to 657 of the family's 1533-position model. The record is from RNAcentral.
CUGCCCUACGGGGCGCAGCAGUGGGGGAUAUUGCACAAUGGGGGGAACCCUGAUGCAGCGACGCCGCGUGGGUGAAGAAGCGCCUCGGCGCGUAAAGCCCUGUCAGCAGGGAAGAAAAUGACGGUACCUGAAGAAGAAGCCCCGGCUAACUACGUGCCAGCAGCCGCGGUAAUACGUAGGGGGCAAGCGUUAUCCGGAUUUACUGGGUGUAAAGGGGGCGCAGACGGCAAUGCAAGUCUGGAGUGAAAGGCGGGGCCCAACCCCCGGACUGCUCUGGAAACUGUAUAGCUGGAGUGCAGGAGAGG